CCUACCGUGGACAGACUUUCCACCGUUUCCCCAAAGAGCAGGCACUUCGCCGUGGAUGUAUAAAUCACAUCAAGAGGGGUCCUGGUCCAUAUUUCAAGAUCAACGCUGAGACCAAGGUUUGCUCUGAGCACUUUGAGAAGCAGUGUUUUGUAAAGACCACCCGUGUUAUCACAAAGCUUAUAAAGGAUGCUGUGCCAACUUUCGCCUGGACUUCAGAGAGGCCAAAGAGGAGAAUCAUCAUUCGCAGACCGAGAGAUGAUGAACCAUUCCUGAAGUUGGACGCCAGAAUGCAGGAAGGUGCUGUUUAAGAGCCUAGGCGGUGGAAGAAGCACUUGCAGGUAUGCUACCGACCAGGCUCCUCAACAUCAAUCCGAGACGGAAGAUGAAACGGGAUGAAGCAGUUAGAUUGAGACAAGGCGGCCGGAAACUUUGAUGACCUCAAUGACACUGGCUAGGUGAAGGACAUCAACAAAAUGGCAUCAGGUCACCAGACAUCAGCUCAUAAUCCACAACAUCAUCAACCAUUUUGCGCCAAAAAUGAAGCCGUUCACAUACCAUGGCAUCCUAAGCAGGCAGCACUACACUACUGUGCAACAGUGAGAGAGAGCGGGCAAGGACAAGUAAAGCGGACCUACACUACAGCAAGACUUUGACACUUCUCCACGUUAGAGGCAACCAUCACCCCCACCGUUGAGCAGCGGCUAUGUGUAACCCCCAAAAGAGGAGAUGAUCCGACGAUGUGUGUGUGGUGUGUGCGUGUGUGUGUGUGAUGUAUGAUAUUGUAACACUUCAGUCCUUCUUUUAUACUAUACAGUGUAUACAUAUACAUUUGUGGGUUUGUUUAAAAACCAUAGCUGAGGUUAAGAAAUGCAUUAUGACAAAUACAUCUGAUUCAGGUGUACUGUCUUUUAUUUGCCACAAAUAAAUCACAUCCUGGAAACCUG
Long non-coding RNA from Engraulis encrasicolus (European anchovy), 944 nucleotides. RefSeq lists it as uncharacterized. The record is from RefSeq and is a predicted model, not a curated record. NCBI's taxonomy places the organism in Eukaryota, Metazoa, Chordata, Actinopteri, Clupeiformes, Engraulidae. The transcript is spliced from 6 exons.